UACGUAGGGUGCGAGCGUUAAUCGGAAUUACUGGGCGUAAAGCGUGCGCAGGCGGUCCUGCAAGACAGGUGUGAAAUCCCCGGGCUUAACCUGGGAACUGCACUUGUGACUGCAAGGCUGGAGUGCGGCAGAGGGGGAUGGAAUUCCGCGUGUAGCAGUGAAAUGCGUAGAUAUGCGGAGGAACACCGAUGGCGAAGGCAAUCCCCUGGGCCUGCACUGACGCUCAUGCACGAAAGCGUGGGGAGCAAACAGG
RNAcentral lists this ribosomal RNA (253 nucleotides) under uncultured bacterium. Its description in RNAcentral is "partial 16S ribosomal RNA". It matches the Rfam family "Bacterial small subunit ribosomal RNA", at positions 524 to 776 of the family's 1533-position model. The record is from RNAcentral.